Molecule: long non-coding RNA, 3568 nt
Filed under: Daucus carota (carrot)
Lineage: Eukaryota; Viridiplantae; Streptophyta; Magnoliopsida; Apiales; Apiaceae
Description: long non-coding RNA (DCAR_LNC001958)
Source: RNAcentral
UUCAUACCAGGAUUUGCUUCCUCGAGCUUUUUGAGCAACAUUGUCAUGUUCUCCUGAACUUUUCUGUUGACCUUGGCUUCCAGUUCACUUUCAAUGCUUUCCUUUAUUGUCCUCGUCAGCUGUUCUACAUAAGGGUCUGUAGAAGAAGGUGCAGAUGUUCCACCGGCAUUUUUACAACUCCUCCCCACCAACCAUUCUCGCCCAUGAUCCUUUCCACCUGCAACCAAUAUUUCUGGAUCUUUUCCAGAACUGAUCAAUUUUUUCAUCCGCUUCUGCAAUAGAACACCAUUGCCCACAUUUCAGAUAUAAUACAAGUACAGAUUUCUAAAAAAUUGCAAAAACCAUUGUUCAUUUUUUCGAUAAUAUAUGCAAGCUAUAAUUAUUUUAUAAAUAUGAAGUGAGGUGACUGGUGAGAGUGAAGGGGAAUUUUUCAUUUUAUGAGAGUUUAAAACAUAUACACAGAAUACAAUAUAAAUUUAUAAGUUAGAUAAUAAGAUCAUGUAUGGAUAUUCCUUUUCUAGCCCCCAACAAAUUGUUCACAAAGCUGCUCUAGAUGAAUAUACACACAAUACAAUAUAAAUUCAUAAGUUAUGACCCAACCUCUUAUUUAAUGAAGCAUAUAAAAAAUGAAAAAAAAGGGAUUAUAAUAAAUUAUAGAAGACAAUAACAAAUUUAAUCAGUUAAAACUAAUAUUAACUUACAAUUCUUUUCUUAACUGCUUUUGCAGUUGGCAUGUACUCCCUGUCUUUCUUUCGCUCACGAGUUUCAAAGUAGACUUUGGCGUUUGAUGGUGAGGCUUGGUUUGGAUCUUUUUUUUUCUGGGAAAUAAUAAAAACAAAUCACGUGUCAUUAGGGACAAGUAUCCGACACAUACAAGAAUAUUAUUUGAAAAUUCAUAUAACAUGCAUGUACGAAGUCACAUACCAAGUCUGCCCUGACUUGUGCAAGAGACUUUGGACCUAUAGUAUGUGUAUCCGUAUAUGAAUUACGGCGCUCUGCAUUAUCCUCAGCUAUUGACUGCAAAAAUAAAAAAAAAUCAACGGUAAUACUUGGAAAUAUUUUGACUGUCAUGCAGAUGGUAAUUAUGAUUAAAUUAAUGUCUAACAUGUUCACAUAUAUAUACUAUUGAAUCAGUGGUGCUUGGACAAAUUGAAUAAAUAAAUAUUUAGUGACUAGAAAUAUUUUUUUUAAUACCUUAAUCUCGUCAUCACCCCAGUAUAUUAAGAGCUGUUUAAAAUCCUCCAACGGAAUGUCCUCUGGCCUGUUUUGGAGCCUUUCCUCAUCCGAAUUAUACUUUGUAUAGUACUUCUUCUUUAUACGAGAUUUGUGCACCCUCCACAAAUCAGCAAGAGUCCUGUUCACCCACCAUUGGGCUUCAUCGGGAAUAAUAUACCUUUGCUAUAAUAUACAAAAAAAUGAUUAUUUCAUCAUGUAAAUAUGGAAAGUAAAUUACACUAUAAUUCAGGUGAUAUAUAUUACCCUAGUAUAUUCCCACAUAAACUUCUUCAGUUCAGCGGGUACAACAUGCCAGUUGACAUAAGUAAGAGGCACAUUAUCUUUGACUACUGUCCCAAGAAACCUACUCAACUCAGAAUCUACUCUUCCAUCUUCUGAAAUUGGCUGGGAGUGCUUAUUCAACAUAAUUAUAGGUCUUUCGGCAGCUGCCCUUGCAUGAACCUUGGUCAUUUUUGACCGACCUCUUGGCUUUCUAGGAGCUGUACAAAUACAUAUUUAAAACAAAGACAGUUUUUUAAUAGUUACAUGUUCAAAUUAGCUGAUAUUAACUCCAAGUUGUAUUUAAAUUGUAUUAAACUGAUUUUAGUUGAAUUUUAUUAACUUUUCCGAGCAAUUCAUAUUUGUGAUCCCAUACCUUUUUCGAUUUCUUCAUCUGCAGCGUCUUCCAUGUUUGCUUCAGGAACCUCAUGUGGUUCUGGACCUUCAAGUCCCUGCUUUUGUUUCUCCCGCAAGGCCAAAUAAGCCGAGAUAGAACCAGCUGCUACAUUAUCGACCGGCUGUUUUAAUAGCUUACUGCAACUUGGCUUUAAGACUUUGCUUCGAACUUUACUUGGUACAGCCUUCUGAGUUGCAGUGCCAAUUUGCGUUUCUUCCGGCUCUGCUGUUUCGGUGGCAGUAUGAGUUGUUUCCAUCUCUAUUAUAGUGGCAGCAUUGGCUCGCGAACGGGUUCUCGGUCCAGGUGCAAUCUUCUUCUUCUCCUGGACUUUUUUCGCUUUCUGCAAAUUGUAGGAAGUUAAGUAAUACAAAAUUAUGUAGCACAUCUUUUGAUGUGCAUAAUCCCAGGAUGUAUCAUAAGCCAUGAAAUAUUUCACACUGUACCGGAGAUGUGUCAUCACUUGCACUUUCGCUGUCAAACUCCAGAUUAUAGUCAUCUUCAGUAGUUGCUUUCUUUCCUUUCACCUUUUUNCUAAAACUGUUACAUUAAACCCAUUUUUCAGAAAAGUAACACUUUUUGUGUGUUACAUCCGCGAGCAUUACCUUAGACAUAUAAGGUAACACUUUCUAGUUCUAUUGUAACAUCUCAUAGAGUGAUACCUUAUGCAGAUAGAGUAACGCUUUAGUAUUUAAAUGUAACACCCUACUGUGUUACCUUUGACUUGUAAUAAAAUCUUUAUGAAAUAGGACCCACCAGUGGGCCCCACACGUGGAGCCCGCACGUGGGCCCCACACGUGGCCCGCACGUGGGCCCCACACGUGGCCCGCACGUGGGCCCUACACGUGGCCCCCACAAGUGGGCCCCACUAGGUUACUCUCUAAUGUAACACUAGAAUUUAUGUAAAUGCAACACCUUUUUAUAUUUUUUUGCAACACUAUAAUAGAUAUGGUAACAACAGUUUCCAAAAGCAUUGCCCUAAAAAUCGUAUAAUGCAACACAACAUAUAUCAAUUGUAACACUUGACAUAAAAAAAAAACUGAAAUAUACUGUUUGUUCAUACAUCAUUUCCAUAAUAUUUCAACCACAAAAUAAUAGCCAACCAAACCAACCACAAGCAAUCCAAAUCCUUCCACCAAACAACCACAAGCAAUCCAAAUCCUUCCACCAGCCAUUACAAAAUAACACCUUCCAAACUACUAAUAAUACCAAAACAAAGUAAACCACAUUAAUAACUACGAAUACCAGAAUGUUAAAGAUACCAAAGUCUAGUCUUAAAUGUACUGAUGAUAAUGAGAUGAUAAUCAAAGGCAGCUAAGAAGUUUCGCCGGCUGUCACUGGAGUUCCAUUAUCAUCACCAUCACUGGAUACAGUAGCUCGAAUGUCAACAUCCAACUUCAUACCAGGAUUUGCUUCCUCGAGCUUUUUGAGCAACAUUGUCAUGUUCUCCUGAACUUUUCUGUUGACCUUGGCUUCCAGUUCACUUUCAAUGCUUUCCUUUAUUGUCCUCGUCAGCUGUUCUACAUAAGGGUCUGUAGAAGAAGGUGCAGAUGUUCCACCGGCAUUUUUACAACUCCUCCCCACCAACCAUUCUCGCCCAUGAUCCUUUCCACCUGCAACCAAUAUUUCUGGAUCUUUUCCAGAACUGAUCAAUUUUUUCAUCCGCUUCUGCAAUAGAAC